GACGAACGCUGGCGGCGUGCUUAACACAUGCAAGUCGAACGCUGAAGCUUGGUGCUUGCACUGGGUGGAUGAGUGGCGAACGGGAGAGUAAUAAGUGAGUAACCUGCCCUUGACUCUGGGAUAAGCCUGGGAAACUGGGUCUAAUACUGGAUACGACAUGUCACCGCAUGGUGGUGUGUGGAAAGGGUUUUACUGGUUUUGGAUGGGCUCACGGCCUAUCAGCUUGUUGGUGGGGUAAUGGCUCACCAAGGCGACGACGGGUAGCCGGCCUGAGAGGGUGACCGGCCACACUGGGACUGAGACACGGCCCAGACUCCUACGGGAGGCAGCAGUGGGGAAUAUUGCACAAUGGGCGGAAGCCUGAUGCAGCGACGCCGCGUGAGGGAUGACGGCCUUCGGGUUGUAAACCUCUUUCAGCACGGAAGAAGCGAAAGUGACGGUACGUGCAGAAGAAGCGCCGGCUAACUACGUG
This 472-nucleotide ribosomal RNA is filed under the name uncultured bacterium. Its description in RNAcentral is "partial 16S ribosomal RNA". It matches the Rfam family "Bacterial small subunit ribosomal RNA", at positions 28 to 507 of the family's 1533-position model. The record is from RNAcentral.